GUCGUAACAAGGUUUCCGUAGGUGAACCUGCGGAAGGAUCAUUACCACACCUAAAAACUUUCCACGUGAACCGUUGUAAUGCUGUUUUGUGCUGCCGUGUACUUAGUAUGCGAAGGCUGAACGAAGGUGCCGUAAAACGCACCGAUGCUCUUUUAAACCAUUUCUAAAUUACUGAUUGAUACUCCUAGGACGAAAGUCUUUGGUUUUAAUCCUAAACAACUUUCAGCAGUGGAUGUCUAGGCUCGC
RNAcentral lists this unclassified non-coding RNA (246 nucleotides) under fungal sp. RNAcentral describes it as "partial internal transcribed spacer region". The stretch from base 1 to 44 matches the Rfam family "Eukaryotic small subunit ribosomal RNA", at positions 1788 to 1831 of the family's 1831-position model. Lineage: Eukaryota; Fungi. The record is from RNAcentral.